RNAcentral lists this ribosomal RNA (406 nucleotides) under uncultured bacterium. Its description in RNAcentral is "partial 16S ribosomal RNA". It matches the Rfam family "Bacterial small subunit ribosomal RNA", at positions 30 to 526 of the family's 1533-position model. The record is from RNAcentral.
AUUGAACGCUGGCGGCAGGCCUAACACAUGCAAGUCGAGCGAGCGGCGGACGGGUGAGUCAUGUAUGGGGAUCUGCCCGAUAGAGGGGGCUAACUACUGGAAACGGUGGCUAAUACCGCAUACCAUCAGAUGAACCCAUAUGGGAUUAGCUUGUAGGUGAGGUAACGGCUCACCUAGGCGACGAUCCCUAGCUGGUCUGAGAGGGUGAUCAGACACACUGGGACUGAGACACGGCCCAGACGCCUACGGGAGGCAGCAGUGGGGAAUAUUGCGCAAUGGGCGCAAGCCUGAUACAGCAAUGCCGCGUGUAUGAAGAAGGCCUUAGGGUUGUAAAGUACUUUCAGCGGAGAGGCGUUACCCGCAGAAGAAGCACCGGCUAACUCCGUGCCAGCAGCCGCGGUAAUUC